RNAcentral lists this ribosomal RNA (674 nucleotides) under Echinococcus granulosus. RNAcentral's name for it is "partial 16S ribosomal RNA". The stretch from base 384 to 536 matches the Rfam family "Archaeal large subunit ribosomal RNA", at positions 1887 to 2086 of the family's 2987-position model. The record is from RNAcentral. Lineage: Eukaryota; Metazoa; Platyhelminthes; Cestoda; Cyclophyllidea; Taeniidae.
CUUGGCGGAGUUUUGUAAAGUAUUUUUUUAUACCGAAAGGCUCUGAUCUUGAGUUUAAUUGUUUGGCAUUGUUUUAAACUUGGGUAAAGUUUUUUAAAUUAAAUUCAUGGAGUGAUAAGUAAGUCGUAGAUCUUUAUAACUGUUUAGUUGUUGGUUAUUUAUAGUAAUGUAUGUGGCUAGAAGGUCAUUUAUGUUUUUAUACAUUUAGUAUUUUUGUGUUGUUUAAUAAGGUUAGGGGUACCUAGUUUUUGUUAUAUUGUUAUAAAUAUGGUUUUGUUUAUUUUGGUGAUUUGUUAAUUGUUUAAACAACUUUUUGUGAUAUUUGGCUGUUAUAUUAUCGUUGAAUGAGUAAUUUUAUUAUGCUAUUUAUUUCUUGAGUUCUUUCCGUCUGUUUAUUAAAAACAUUUCCAACUUGAAUUAUAGCUGGUAGUGCCUGCCCAAUGUUAGUUAAUUAAUGGCCGCAGUAUAUUGACUGUGCAAAGGUAGCAUAAUUAAUUGCCUUUUAAUUGGGGGCUUGUUUGAAUGGUUUGACGUGAUUGGUAUGAAUAUUUGGUAUUUUAUUGAAAUUGAUUUUAAGGGUUCAGAAUCCUUUAGUUUUAGUAAGACGGAAAGACCCUAGGAUCUUUUGUUUUUGUUUGGGGCAAUUUUUGGUGUUUUAUAAAUAUUAUGACCCU